GAUGAAGAACGUAGUGAAAUGCGAUAAGUAAUGUGAAUUGCAGAAUUCAGUGAAUCAUCGAAUCUUUGAACGCACAUUGCGCCCGCCAGUAUUCUGGCGGGCAUGCCUGUCUGAGCGUCAUUUCAACCCUCAUGCCCCUAGGGCGUGGUGUUGGGGAUCGGCCAAAGCCCGCGAGGGACGGCCGGCCCCUAAAUCUAGUGGCGGACCCGUCGUGGCCUCCUCUGCGAAGUAGUGAUAUUCCGCAUCGGAGAGCGAUGAGCCCCUGCCGUUAAACCCCCUACUUUCCAAGGUUGACCUCAGAUCAGGUAGGAAUACCCGCUGAACUUAAGCAUAUCAAUAAGCGGAGGA
This 348-nucleotide unclassified non-coding RNA is filed under the name soil metagenome. Its description in RNAcentral is "partial contains 5.8S ribosomal RNA, internal transcribed spacer 2, and large subunit ribosomal RNA". The stretch from base 1 to 120 matches the Rfam family "5.8S ribosomal RNA", at positions 35 to 154 of the family's 154-position model. The record is from RNAcentral.